Suricata suricatta (meerkat) is the source of this 409-nucleotide non-coding RNA. The record is from the annotation of a RefSeq genome assembly. Lineage: Eukaryota; Metazoa; Chordata; Mammalia; Carnivora; Herpestidae.
CCUUGAACAUGAGUGUCCUGACCCAGGUCCUCUGCCUUCUGCUGUCCUGCCUCCCAGCUGCCAGUGGCACAGCUGAGCUGAUUCAGUCUCCGGCCCAUCUCUCUGUGUCCCUGAGAGACAGCGUGUCCAUCAUCUGCAGGGCCAGCGAGAGCAUUAGUGAUGACUUAAGCUGGUAUCAGCAGAAACCGGGCCAGCCUCCCAAGCUUAUCAUCUAUGAUGCCGAUAACCUAGAGGCUGGUGCCCCAGACCGGUUCUCUGUGACUCAGUCUGACAGAGAAUUCACCCUCACAAUCAGCACAGUCGAGGCCAAUGACGCCGCCAGUUACUUCUGCCAGCAAGAUUAUGCACUUCCUCCCACGGUGAUGCAGCCCCAAGCACAAACCUUCCCCCAGGGCUGCUAGUGCAGAGA